GAUGAACGCUAGCUACAGGCUUAACACAUGCAAGUCGAGGGGCAGCGCAGUGUAGCAAUACAUGGGCGGCGACCGGCGCACGGGUGCGUAACGCGUAUCCAACCUUCCCGUUACUCUUGGAUAGCCUUCCGAAAGGGAGAUUAAUACAGGAUGGUGUUCAAAUUCCGCAUGUUAUUUGAACUAAAGAUUUAUCGGUAACGGAUGGGGAUGCGUGACAUUAGGUAGAUGGCGGGGUAACGGCCCACCAUGCCUACGAUGUCUAGGGGUUCUGAGAGGAAGGUCCCCCACACUGGAACUGAGACACGGUCCAGACUCCUACGGGAGGCAGCAGUGAGGAAUAUUGGUCAAUGGUCGGAAGACUGAACCAGCCAAGUAGCGUGAAGGAUGAAGGUUCUAUGGAUUGUAAACUUCUUUUAUACGGGAAUAAAACCACCUACGUGUAGGUGCUUGUAUGUACCGUAUGAAUAAGCAUCGGCUAACUCCGUG
RNAcentral lists this ribosomal RNA (486 nucleotides) under uncultured bacterium. Its description in RNAcentral is "bacterial SSU rRNA". It matches the Rfam family "Bacterial small subunit ribosomal RNA", at positions 28 to 507 of the family's 1533-position model. The record is from RNAcentral.